RNAcentral lists this transfer-messenger RNA (350 nucleotides) under Acutalibacteraceae. RNAcentral describes it as "JAEEHZ01 sp016296885 Standard tmRNA". It matches the Rfam family "transfer-messenger RNA". From Rfam's summary of the family: Bacterial tmRNA, also known as 10Sa RNA or SsrA, is named for its dual tRNA and mRNA-like properties. RNAcentral also lists the same sequence under 1 other name. Lineage: Bacteria; Bacillati; Bacillota; Clostridia; Eubacteriales. The record is from RNAcentral.
GGGGGCGUAAAGGUUUCGACGGGAGUUGUGAACCUGAGUAAGCGAGCAGUGGUCGGAAACCACUUUAAAAUUUCGAACUUUUUAAAAUUAAACGACAAUAAUUUACAACUUCGUGCUGCUUAAUUAGCAGCACCGUUCCUGCAUUGAAUACUGCGGCUUUGCAAGGAGCGUCAUUUUGCAGUGAACGUGAACACGAGAGCACCUUGUAUCGUGUCAUGCAUUAAAGGUUACCAAGUAUAGUAGCUUGUUAUUGGGCGACUAUGCAAGGGAAUGUAAUCCAAUAACUGCGCUCGGAGAAAGCUUUGGCAAAUGAUUUUCGGACAGGAGUUCGAUUCUCCUCGCCUCCACCA